CGACGUAGGUAACCUGCCUUGUAGCGGGGGAUAACUAUUGGAAACGAUAGCUAAUACCGCAUAACAAUGGAUGACACAUGUCAUUUUAUUUUGAAAGGGGGCAAUUGCUCCACUACAAGAUGGACCUGCGUUGUAUUAGCUAGUAGGUGAGGUAAUGGCUCACCUAGGCGACGAUACAUAGCCGACCUGAGAGGGUGAUCGGCCACACUGGGACUGAGACACGGCCCAGAAUCCUACGGGAGGCAGCAUG
Molecule: ribosomal RNA, 250 nt
Filed under: uncultured bacterium
Lineage: Bacteria
Description: partial 16S ribosomal RNA
Rfam family: Bacterial small subunit ribosomal RNA
Source: RNAcentral